CUUCAGAGUUGUGUGGGGAGAAGGAAUGAACUGCGGAAAGCCUCUAGCAGACGGCCCACUGAACCGUGAGCGCGGUCCUGCUGACUGAGGGGCUCUGCGCAGCCUCACGGCCUCGCUGCGCUCUCAAGGCCGCUCGUGGUUGUGUGGAGAUCACAGCAAUGGGGGCGAGAGUGGACGCCGGAGUGCAGGUGGGGCUGGUGCAGACCUCCAGGUGCGGGUAACGGGGACUGGCCCGGGGUGGUGACGGGGGAGAUGCAGGGAAUGGGCAGACAGGAGAGAUACUUGGGGCAAGAACAAACAGGACUUGCUGAUGGAGUCGGUAUGGGGUGGGGGUGCAAUAAGGGACAUUGACCCUCAGGUGUGUGGGCUUGGAAACUAGGAGCGUGACGAGAUUGUGCAUCUGAGAAGUUUCUCUGACUUGCCCAAGGUCACACAAGGUGUAGGUGGCAGAGCUGGGGUUGUUCUGACAACGAGGUGCGGUUCUUUCCUCUGCACAAGCCGGCUUCCUGGGAUCGUGGCUCUUCUGGGGAGAGGGACCUUGGAGAGCGCCUGCCUUCGGGCAGGAGAAUCUCCACUGGACGAGAGAGAAUCUGGAGGUCAGGUGGUUUUCUGGAACGCACAUAGCCAGGGAGGGGGAAGCAGGCAGGGGCUGCAUCUGGCUGCCUGGGGUGGGCAGGCACUCUCUGUUCCAUGCCACACAGAGAGUCCCCAAGGCCUUUCUGAAAAGCUCUUCCCAGCCCUUCCGUGAUAAACAACCUGCUGUCCCCGGCUCCGGGCGGGAAGAAUCUAAGGGGAGACGCUCCUCCGUUAGUCACGCAAGCUUGCCUGGGUGGUUAGCACAAUGAAGCCGUCAAGCCACUAGGCAGGAAGGGCGGGAGCUGGCGUUUCAAGCACCGCUGCCCACCCGAGGGAUGUGCAGGGUAGCAACAGCCCACGCCGGCGGUGGGGAGCAGCCUGGUCACCCACAGGAGCUUGUGAGGCCCGAGGAGUGUCCGUGUGGCAAGGCCCCUGCCCCAGCUUUUCAUUUAUGAAACAGAGCGUGACCUCCAGAACUCACUGGGGUUCUGUAUGACGGAGCUCCCCGCGUUGGGCAAGCAGGGUGACCCCGUCCUCCAUCAUGGCUCUCUCACUGUGACGCCGACCCUCGGUCCCCACGCUCGGCUUGCAGUAGAACGUUUCCUCUCUCCAGGUUGUCAUGACAAUUUUCACUGAGAAGCUGUUUCUGUAGAGGGAGCAAAAAAAGAAACAGGGGGAAAUGCUUAUUAAAGCCAGGCCUAGUGAGUCUGAGGAUUUCAGUGGUGUCUUUACAUUCUCAGUGGCUUCUGAAGAAAAAGUGGAAUUUCUGUCCUCUACACCAGCUGGCUGCUAGGAACUUUGCUGUUAUAUAGAGGCAAUGCAUGAAGUCCAGAAUCCAUUACAUUAUACUAAUUAUAGUAAUAAUGAUAAUAACAAUUAAAUGUGAGCCUUCAAAGGCAGGUCCCCUCCGGCAGAAUCCAUUAAGGAGAAUGGGUGUAAUUAUUCGGGCAGUGGAGGCACAGUGCAAUUUUAGGGGUGGUCAGUGUUAUCCUGAUAACAAUCCCAUUCUCUCCUCCUUCGUCACUGGCCAUCUGGCCUUCCAGUGUCUUCUCCCCAGAUCUCAACCAUCUGUCCAUCAAUGUCUCACUAAUUAUUGCAAACAAUUCUGUGUAAAAUGAGAAGAAAGUAAAGGUUAACUUUCCCAUUUUACAGAUUAGUCAUUGUCUUCCUGAACAAACAGUGAGGAAACCCAGGGGAGGUGACCCCUCAGUGAAUGUAUCCUACAGAAGAGCCGGAUCUGGAACUCUGCUUGAGCAAGCCAGUGUAAAAAUUACAACAGCUUACUGAGCCCUGUGCAGAAGCUGAUAUUGAGAGCAUGGAGGCUUCCUGCUAAAGGCCAGCAUCAGCUUGUCAGCCACACAGGUGAGGCUGGGAGAGGAUCCUCAGUCCUGAUCAAGACUUCAGAUGAGAUCACAGCCCUGGCUGACAUCUGACUGCAACUUCAUGAGAGACCCUGAGCCACAGCCCCCAGCCCAGCCACUCCUGAAUUUCUGGUCCACAGAAACUGUAAGAGAUGUAAAUAAAUUAUUAUUGCUGCUUUUAAGCCACUAAA
This 2128-nucleotide long non-coding RNA is filed under the name Homo sapiens (human). RNAcentral's name for it is "HSALNT0372420". Lineage: Eukaryota; Metazoa; Chordata; Mammalia; Primates; Hominidae. The record is from RNAcentral.